GCCCUUCUCGGGUCACACCUGGAGAAUUUCCAGUACUCUACCAGUCUCGACUACGGGAGGGAGAGUCAAGCAGGGAAUACAUAUUCCAUUCCUAGCUUGGGGAGUGGCUAGUGAAUGGAAGACAAUCUGCUAUAAGU
Tachyglossus aculeatus (Australian echidna) is the source of this 137-nucleotide small nucleolar RNA. NCBI's taxonomy places the organism in Eukaryota, Metazoa, Chordata, Mammalia, Monotremata, Tachyglossidae. The record is from RefSeq and is a predicted model, not a curated record.